CACUAGGUUUUUUGGAGGAAACAAUUGAUUGUCGUCAAGAGGCUAAUAAUGCUACAUUGUCGCCAGCUUUCCAAUACUUUCCUUUAAAUUUUCCACUGCAAUUAACAACUGAAAGAGGCGUAAAAAAUAAGGGCUAAAUUUGCAUAAACAAACUACAUAUGAUAAACUAUAACAAAUAUGCAAAAUGAAAUGAAUACAAAAUUAUAUAGAAUUUGACGAGUGGAAAAAAUAAUGAAGUAAUUUGUACCCGCUUGUAUGGUCAUAUAUCAACUAAUAAAAAGAAGAUACGGUAUAUAAAAAGUUGCCUUUUAAUCAAAACAGGGAGUAAUACUUUCGAUUAUGUUUACAAAUUUCCUGACAACAGUCUUGUAAUCUGUUCGCCCAACUGCUUUAAUUAAGGUGCCUCCCACACAAACGUUCAUACUAUUAUUUUCAUAAGUCACCUGGAGUUCUGGAGUUCUUCAUAGUGAAUCCAAAUGUUGUGCAGCCCCUCUAAUGGUUUUCCAGUCUAUGAAUCUACUCCACACAAAGUUUUGUUUCCAACUCUUGGAACACCUCUGGUACAACGGUUGGUAAGCUGCUCUGCACAG
Molecule: long non-coding RNA, 590 nt
Organism: Glossina fuscipes
Lineage: Eukaryota; Metazoa; Arthropoda; Insecta; Diptera; Glossinidae
Exons: 3
Source: RefSeq, a predicted model, not a curated record